This is a non-coding RNA of Pantoea sp., 194 nucleotides long. NCBI's taxonomy places the organism in Bacteria, Pseudomonadati, Pseudomonadota, Gammaproteobacteria, Enterobacterales, Erwiniaceae. The record is from Rfam.
CAUACGCAUGCAGCGUGUGCUGACACAGUGCCGAGCGCACGCAGUCAUCUUUGCCGAAGCGUACAAUGCCGACCAUCUCGUCCUCUUCGAACCGCGCCAGCGCGUCCGCGAGACCGGAAGGCACCCCAGCGGGCAAGUCGCACUGGGUAAUAUCGCCGUUAACAAUCACCGUGACAUUUUCGCCAAGGCGUGUC